UUUACCUCCCACUCUCCCUCUUCCCAAUCCAAAUUUACCGCGACCAAUUCCAGGCCUUUGCAUUGGUCUGGAUGACAGAGAAGUGAUCUGGGCCAACGUGUCAGAAGAGGGCCGAACUCUUCCUCCCAGGACUGGUUCUUCUCUUCUAAAGACCAAGAUCUCCGAAGCUACUUACUGCCCUGUGUAGAGGCAGGCCUACCACAGAAUCACCCCAGACUGGUACCCUUUGGUCCCAUUGCACUUAGUAAAAUAAAAGGCAUUGUCGGCCCAGGUAUUCCUGCUGCCCCCAUGCACUCCACGCCCCUUCAACAACCACAAGCUUUAUUUGAGGAAGGGAACCUCCAGAUUCACUCAGCGAAGCCAACACGGUAACCGGAUUUGCACUCCUAUCUCGGUUGUCUCCCCACGCCUAAUUUACCAAGCAGGCUUAGGGCCUACAGUGUAACCCACGGGAAGGAGAACAGAGCAGCGGCAGGUCCCCUCACCCGCUGGCGUGUCUGUGGUGACAACUUCCUGUCUUCACGUUAGGCUCUAGUGCUGCCAACCUCCAAGGAAGGGUAACCUGUGAGUGUCAAAGUCGCUGAUAUCCUAAGUGUGACUAAAAAUCAGGCAGGGCUUAUGGAGGGGCGGGCACUGCGGGGCGAGGUGAUAAAGCUCCGGCUACUUAAAGAGGCAGAGUGCUGAUGGGAGGGUCACAGCAAAAUGUUUUGUAUUCUAGAGUUUUAAGGUCAGUUUGCUCUCGCUAAUGAGUUUCCAACAUACUUGUCCUUUCAGACCCACCUUUGCCAACGUUUUUAUUCAAACUUCAGUGUGUGCGUGCAUGCACACACACAUUCCCUCUUUCUCACUAACUUCUGAGAAUUCCUGCUUUGCAGAAAGUUUAGAGAAAAUACUUUUUCCCUCCUGAGUUUAUUCUUAGCCUACUUCAAGUAGGCAUUUCGUCACCUUCUUUACAAGUCUUGGCACAGCAGAUGAGUGAAGUUCCCUGGCUCUUCUUCAGUUCUUAAUGACUACGGUACUUUGCUCAGUGUCAAUAAAUAUGCGAUUGCUUGGAUGCCUGAGUUAGCUACUCAACAGUUCUACUGCGACAGGUGUCCAGGGCUUAGAAACUCUGUGCAUGCAGAAGACAGGUUUUGUGUUGGUAAAUUAACAAUCGCAGUAUGCUCUCUUGAAUCCUCCCGACGGGCGUCACUUCAACUUUUAAGUGUGGAUUUGAUUACUAAAAAUGGUCAAAAUUCAUUCCAAAUGAAGUCCAGUGCUCCUACAGAGUUAAUACUGGUUUUCCUAAAUGCGACAAAUAAGAUGUGAAACCCCGUAUUAUUGUUAAAGACGAGCCAGUAAGGACAUCACCAAGAUCACUUUUCAUUCUUCAUCAAACUGCUAGUGUCACAAUGCGAGUCAGGGUACACUGCAGGCACCAGAACGGAUCCCAUCUGGGCUCAUCCGGUAUGCUGACAGUGUGUCACACACCCGGUCUCUCUGGCCAGAGCCCGCCGUGGGCACAGCAGAGAGAAUGCGGCUUUUCCCGCGGCCUCUAGAGGUCCUACCGACUGCGAUCAGUCAGAACUUUUUCAACCACCAUGCCCACAGCCUUACUUCCUACGAAAUUAGGACGGCCCGUUGUGGAUUCAGUGACCCUUUAUGAAUCUCCGAUCCAUCGCUCCCUGCUCCAGUAAAGCAGGCUAACUGCUCAUUUCCAGUCCAAGAAUUCACUUUCUUGUUCUAGGAUCUUCUAAACUUGCAGGCACAUUAGAAUCGCGUGGGGGGGACUUAAAAAAAAACAAAACACCCAGGCUCCACCCCAGGCAAAUUAGACCAUGCCAGGGUGGGCCCUGGCACAAAUUUAUUUUUUAAGGUCCCCGGCUUCGUCUCACGUUCAGCCGAGAUCAAAACAGUGUGCCUGUCUCCGCCUUAUAGGAUCAGCCUGUGGCAAUGAACAUCCCGAAUUAGUACUUAUUGGCUAAUAAACAUGGGACUGAUUGAACUAUUCUUGUCCAUUGUUUUU
Long non-coding RNA from Felis catus (domestic cat), 2005 nucleotides. RefSeq lists it as uncharacterized. NCBI's taxonomy places the organism in Eukaryota, Metazoa, Chordata, Mammalia, Carnivora, Felidae. The record is from RefSeq and is a predicted model, not a curated record. The transcript is spliced from 3 exons.